This 2639-nucleotide ribosomal RNA is filed under the name Klebsiella pneumoniae subsp. pneumoniae. Its description in RNAcentral is "bacterial LSU rRNA". It matches the Rfam family "Bacterial large subunit ribosomal RNA". Lineage: Bacteria; Pseudomonadati; Pseudomonadota; Gammaproteobacteria; Enterobacterales; Enterobacteriaceae. The record is from RNAcentral.
ACUAUCGUUAACUGAAUACAUAGGUUAACGAGGCGAACCGGGGGAACUGAAACAUCUAAGUACCCCGAGGAAAAGAAAUCAACCGAGAUUCCCCCAGUAGCGGCGAGCGAACGGGGAGCAGCCCAGAGUCUGAAUCAGCUUGUGUGUUAGUGGAACGGUCUGGAAAGUCCGACGGUACAGGGUGAUAGUCCCGUACACCAAAAUGCACAGGCUGUGAACUCGAAGAGUAGGGCGGGACACGUGGUAUCCUGUCUGAAUAUGGGGGGACCAUCCUCCAAGGCUAAAUACUCCUGACUGACCGAUAGUGAACCAGUACCGUGAGGGAAAGGCGAAAAGAACCCCGGCGAGGGGAGUGAAAAAGAACCUGAAACCGUGUACGUACAAGCAGUGGGAGCACCUUCGGGUGUGACUGCGUACCUUUUGUAUAAUGGGUCAGCGACUUAUAUUCUGUAGCAAGGUUAACCGUAUAGGGGAGCCGCAGGGAAACCGAGUCUUAACUGGGCGUUAAGUUGCAGGGUAUAGACCCGAAACCCGGUGAUCUAGCCAUGGGCAGGUUGAAGGUUGGGUAACACUAACUGGAGGACCGAACCGACUAAUGUUGAAAAAUUAGCGGAUGACUUGUGGCUGGGGGUGAAAGGCCAAUCAAACCGGGAGAUAGCUGGUUCUCCCCGAAAGCUAUUUAGGUAGCGCCUCGUGAACUCAUCUUCGGGGGUAGAGCACUGUUUCGGCUAGGGGGUCAUCCCGACUUACCAACCCGAUGCAAACUACGAAUACCGAAGAAUGUUAUCACGGGAGACACACGGCGGGUGCUAACGUCCGUCGUGAAGAGGGAAACAACCCAGACCGCCAGCUAAGGUCCCAAAGUCAUGGUUAAGUGGGAAACGAUGUGGGAAGGCACAGACAGCCAGGAUGUUGGCUUAGAAGCAGCCAUCAUUUAAAGAAAGCGUAAUAGCUCACUGGUCGAGUCGGCCUGCGCGGAAGAUGUAACGGGGCUAAACCAUGCACCGAAGCUGCGGCAGCGACACUAUGUGUUGUUGGGUAGGGGAGCGUUCUGUAAGCCUGCGAAGGUGUGCUGUGAGGCAUGCUGGAGGUAUCAGAAGUGCGAAUGCUGACAUAAGUAACGAUAAAGCGGGUGAAAAGCCCGCUCGCCGGAAGACCAAGGGUUCCUGUCCAACGUUAAUCGGGGCAGGGUGAGUCGACCCCUAAGGCGAGGCCGAAAGGCGUAGUCGAUGGGAAACAGGUUAAUAUUCCUGUACUUGGUGUUACUGCGAAGGGGGGACGGAGAAGGCUAUGUUAGCCGGGCGACGGUUGUCCCGGUUUAAGCAUGUAGGCUGGUUGUCCAGGCAAAUCCGGAUAAUCAAGGCUGAGGUGUGAUGACGAGGCACUACGGUGCUGAAGUAACAAAUGCCCUGCUUCCAGGAAAAGCCUCUAAGCAUCAGGUAACAUCAAAUCGUACCCCAAACCGACACAGGUGGUCAGGUAGAGAAUACCAAGGCGCUUGAGAGAACUCGGGUGAAGGAACUAGGCAAAAUGGUGCCGUAACUUCGGGAGAAGGCACGCUGGUGUGUAGGUGAAGCCCCUGCGGGUGGAGCUGAGACCAGUCGAAGAUACCAGCUGGCUGCAACUGUUUAUUAAAAACACAGCACUGUGCAAACACGAAAGUGGACGUAUACGGUGUGACGCCUGCCCGGUGCCGGAAGGUUAAUUGAUGGGGUUAUCCGUAAGGAGAAGCUCUUGAUCGAAGCCCCGGUAAACGGCGGCCGUAACUAUAACGGUCCUAAGGUAGCGAAAUUCCUUGUCGGGUAAGUUCCGACCUGCACGAAUGGCGUAAUGAUGGCCAGGCUGUCUCCACCCGAGACUCAGUGAAAUUGAACUCGCUGUGAAGAUGCAGUGUACCCGCGGCAAGACGGAAAGACCCCGUGAACCUUUACUAUAGCUUGACACUGAACAUUGAGCCUUGAUGUGUAGGAUAGGUGGGAGGCUUUGAAGCGUGGACGCCAGUCUGCGUGGAGCCAACCUUGAAAUACCACCCUUUAAUGUUUGAUGUUCUAACGUUGGCCCCUUACCGGGGUUGCGGACAGUGUCUGGUGGGUAGUUUGACUGGGGCGGUCUCCUCCCAAAGCGUAACGGAGGAGCACGAAGGUUAGCUAAUCCUGGUCGGACAUCAGGAGGUUAGUGCAAUGGCAUAAGCUAGCUUGACUGCGAGCGUGACGGCGCGAGCAGGUGCGAAAGCAGGUCAUAGUGAUCCGGUGGUUCUGAAUGGAAGGGCCAUCGCUCAACGGAUAAAAGGUACUCCGGGGAUAACAGGCUGAUACCGCCCAAGAGUUCAUAUCGACGGCGGUGUUUGGCACCUCGAUGUCGGCUCAUCACAUCCUGGGGCUGAAGUAGGUCCCAAGGGUAUGGCUGUUCGCCAUUUAAAGUGGUACGCGAGCUGGGUUUAGAACGUCGUGAGACAGUUCGGUCCCUAUCUGCCGUGGGCGCUGGAGAAUUGAGGGGGGCUGCUCCUAGUACGAGAGGACCGGAGUGGACGCAUCACUGGUGUUCGGGUUGUCAUGCCAAUGGCACUGCCCGGUAGCUAAAUGCGGAAGAGAUAAGUGCUGAAAGCAUCUAAGCACGAAACUUGCCCCGAGAUGAGUUCU